AUUGUUUUGUAUAUUUUCGUUCGCGUGAUCUUAGUUUGCUAUGUAACAGUUUGAAGAGUAUGUUGAGUUGUGUUUUUAAGUGAUCGAUCCUAAAUGCUAAUUUUAAUUUUCCUUAUGAACAAAGCUAGCUGUUUAAUAUUGUUUAUGUUAUUUUCAGUUAAAAUAAGUAUCAAAUCAAGUUUCUUCGAAGUAUUUGUGCCGUGUCAAAUAAAUGUUAUGUGAAGAAAAAAAAAGUUUUUUCGAGAGUACUGGGUACAUUGCAUGAAUUACAGUUUUCGUUAGGGACCAAUCCCCAUUUAUAUAGUCUAUCCUUUGUGGCUAAGUGGCAUGAGCGUAGUCUGGAUAAUGUUAUCGUGAGAUCGUUCGGCAAACAUAUGUUUUGGAACCAUGGCUCCAGUUUGAUCGUUGGCAUAAUUUUGUAGUGGCUAAGGGUCAAGUCGUCUUUGGAGAGUCGUCGAUUUCAGUUCUUGUUGUUCAAAGCUUAGCUGCAUGAUCAGCUCUGUCGUUUCCCGUUAGAUGAAUAUGUCCAGGAAUCCAUUGAAUGUUUUGCAGCACUUUGACUAUCGGUAAAUACAUCAGCUUUGGAAAUGCUCUUGAUUAUUAAGUACUCAAUAGCUUUGAUGAUAGCGGCUAUCUCCGCGUUCAUAAUUGUGAAUUGUGAUUUAAGUCUCCCACUUUGCGACAAUUUCUCUGCUUCAUCGUAUAUACCAUAACCUGUUCGUCCGUCAAUUUUUGAGCCGUCAGUGAAAGUUUUAUAAUAAUCAGCGUAAGAUGUUUGUAUUAAGCCAAGAACUGUUUGUUUCUGUACUGUUGUGGAGUAGUUUUUCUUUUCAAAUGAUUCUAUUUCUGGAUGUAUAAUAAUUUUUUCUGAGUUUUCAUAAGGAACUGCACGUGCAAGCUGUAAUAAAUGGUAAUUGUUCAAACUAGCUAUCUUUUCAAGGUAAGUAUGGUGCUUUGGUAAAUCGUCUUCUUGAAUAAAUUUAUAUAGGUAAUGAAUAAUUGGGCUAUUUUGGUAGUAAAGGGCUUUACAGAUUUUCCUUGAUUGCUAAGUACUCAGCUCUUUCCCUCAAUGGUAACUGGUAAUGGUUUCUGAUAGAAUUACAUGAUUUGGAGUUGAUUUAAGGUAUCUCAUUGAUACUCUAAUUGCGAGGUUUUGUACUGUUUGCAGUUUGGUGAAGUUGGUUGUCGGGGCUGCUGCUGUAAUUGUCAGUCCGUAGUCAAUUUGUGGUUGUACUAUUGCUUUAGAUAUAUUGAGUGUGGUACGAGGGUGGGCUCCAUUUUUCCGUUUAGUUAUCAUUUUAAUUAUGUUGAUUUUCUUUUUAAUUUUCGCUACUGUCGUUUCGAUAUGUUUAUUGUAGUUGAGUCUAUAAUCAAUGUAUAUCCCUAAGAAUUUUUGUACUGGUUUUGCUUCUAUUUAAUGAUUGUUGAUUUUUAUUAUCUAUCGGAUGAAAUUUGUGUGUCAUGACCAUAGUGGCGCAUUUAUCUGUGUUUAUCGUCAUUCCUAUACUAUUUAAGUGGUUGGUUAUUUCUGCUAAGAAAUUGUUCGUAUUCUUUACUGCUAAUGAUAAAUUCUUUGCCUUAACCAUUACUGUGAAGUCAUCAGCGAAUUGGAACAAUAUUCUGUUUGGGCCGGAUAGGGUAUGGACUUUCAUAGUGUACAGGUUGAAUAAAAUUUUAAAUUGAUAAUGGACAGCCUUGUGGAAGACCUUUGUUAGUUACUCGUCUGAUUUCCGUGUUAUUGUUUAGUUUUAGUAUUAUGUUCCUUUUCUGUAAAUAGUUGAAUAUCCAGUUUAUGAGUUCUGGUGGGAUAUUAGUCUCAUCUAAGGUAUCAAGUAGUUUUUUGAUAUCUACGUUGUCGAAUGCUUUCGAUAAAUCUAAGAAGGUUGUUAUAACAACUUCGUUUUCUCUUUUUGCAUUGUACACGUGGGUCAGAAAUGUGUUAACGCAGUUAAUUGCAGAGGUUCUUUUUCUAAAGCCAAACGAGUAAGCUGGUAACAUAUUGUCUGUUUCUAUAUGUUCAGUUAGCCUACGCUUUAUAAUAAAAUUAAUAAGUUUUAUAAUAACGCUAAUCAUGGCUAAUGGUCUGUAUGAUAACGGUUCAUUAGGGUUUUUGGAUGGUUUAAGUAUUGGAACGAUUUUAAUGUCGCGCCAAUCAUCUGGAAUUAUACCAGAGUUAACUACGGCAUUAAGUAUGGUUACUGUUUUGAUAAUAAGUUCUGGCUUACAUCGUUUAAGAAAAUCUGUACCAUUUAUAAAUUAAUUAAUAGAUCGCAAAUAGACAGUCUCACCAUUCAAUGGAUUCCUGGACAUAUUCAUCUAACGGGAAACGACAGAGCUGAUCAUGCAGCUAAGCUUUGAACAACAAGAACUGAAAUCGACGACUUUCCAAAGACGACUUGACCCUUAGCCUGAAACAUGAAAUAAUUUGCUUAUGGAAUGCAAAAUACAAAGAAAUUUCAAAUGACAAAGGAA
This is a long non-coding RNA of Wyeomyia smithii (pitcher-plant mosquito), 2472 nucleotides long. RefSeq lists it as uncharacterized. Lineage: Eukaryota; Metazoa; Arthropoda; Insecta; Diptera; Culicidae. The record is from RefSeq and is a predicted model, not a curated record. The transcript has 4 exons.